Molecule: long non-coding RNA, 4201 nt
Filed under: Sus scrofa (pig)
Lineage: Eukaryota; Metazoa; Chordata; Mammalia; Artiodactyla; Suidae
Description: lncRNA (ENSSSCG00035046319.1)
Source: RNAcentral
CUAUCACAUGAAUCAGAAAUGUAUACCACUGAGAACCACUGAGGUUUUUGUGUUUUUUUGGUUUUUUUUAAGUGAGAUGUGGUAAGAGCCUCUUUAUUUGUUUAUUAGCUCUUCAUUCUUUAAUCUUAAAAGCAAUCCUUUUAGAUCUUCUAACUCCCUUUUUUUUUUUUCUGGGCAAUUCUGAACCUAUUUCUUGCAUACAUGGAGAAGCUGCAUGUUUUAUGCAAUAGUUAAUUCUGAAACCACAUCAGACGGUAGGAAGAUGGGAAACAAGGACAGGAAGUAGGCUGUUAGCAGCUAUGUGUGCCAUUGUCAUCCCCAUCUUUAAUCCUCUGAUGGAAUAAGCUCAAUCAUCAUUUUUGUUUUCUUUUUAUGUGCCUCCCUCUCAUGCAUUUCUCCCAGUUCUGCGUAUCUACUGCCAGGUUGGUAAAUUAAAUAAACCCAAAGGAAAGUAAAGGUUUUUCUGAAAAUGUAUAAGGAAGAGCAAAUAUGCUGUACGAGAGAAAAGUUGUAAGAGUAGAAUCCUGUAUGGAUCUAGUCAGGUCCUAACAGUUCCGGGCCUAGUGGUUUGAAGUAAAGUAGUACACCACUCACGUGGUGGAAUUCAAGCUCAGUGCAAGUUCCGUCUUUCCUCACAUUUUCUCUUAACCACCAGGUGGCUCUCCAAACCAACCAGUUCAAUAAAUCCUACACGAGAUCUUUCCUGCAUGUAUUUCCAGUAUUUCCAGAUCAUGUUUUCAGUUUUCUGGAAGAGACCAAAUGAUCGUUCCCUAGAGUACUAAAUAUUCAGUUAUUGUUUCCUCAUUCAUUUCUCAACAACUGAAGGCUUAAUGAGGCUUUGCUCUGGAACGUAUUUCAUUGUGCAGCUGCAGCUCUGAUUUGAACCUCCAUGUGCCACUGUGCGGCCCUAAAAAGAAAAUUUAAAAAAAGAGAAGUUCUUAUGGUAUGUUAGAGAAAGUGGAUAAUACACUGUGAUACAAUUUUUCACUCACAGGGCUGACAAUUUACAUUUGCUUAUACAGUCUCUUGACUAAACUGUGGGGAAACAGCUACUCUUGUAUUGUGCAUAUGAGAAUGUAAAUUUCUCAUACUCAUUAAAUUUGUUAUAGCCUCCAUUUAAGUCAAUAAUGGGAUGUGUUUCUUAUUAGAAAUGCACAUAAUCUUUUAUCAAGCAUCUCCACUUUUGGAAAUUUACCCUAAACUCACACCUGUGAAACAAUAUAUAUUCAAGAUUAUUUGUUUAAGACAAAACUGACAUAUCCAUUAAUAGGCAGUGAUUUAAUUAAUUUAUGAUUAAAGAUGGGGAAAUGAUGUGUUUCUGAAGAUUGAGGGUGUAGAAUGCGGGAAGAAGAGGACAGAAGGAAAAGAUGGUGGCUGGAGAGCUAGAAGGAAUGAGAGAAAAGAAGCUAGGAAAAAGUAAAGGAAGAUAGAGGCAAAGGAGAGAGGACACAUCCACCCGUGGGUACAGAGCCACACUGAGGAUGAGAAAGGAACAUGCUUAAGGAAACAGAAAGAGGGAACCCAGACUUAUGGGGAAGCGGGGAACAGAUGAGGUAGAAAGAAACUAAACAUGCUAAGUAGCAAGCUAAGUAUCUCACCUUUGGCUGAGAGGUCCUGGAUAACAGAGGAUGACCUGUCUAACUGGGUGUUUUCUGCAGGUUUAGUGAAGUGCUUUGCAAAUAGUUGGCAUGCAACACAUGUGGUCUUGAAUGAGCUGUGAGUUCAAGAAUGCAUGAACAGCACUUCUGUGUCCACUGUAUUCUAAUUUAUGUUUGAUUUUAAGCUAAUAACAUUAAAAUUUAGCAACCGCACCAAUAGUAAAUCUAGUUGUCAACUUGAUAUGCAUUGUCAGGUUUCACAUAUGGUUAUGGUGAAAAAACUAAGGUGUGGAAAACUUAUAUAGGGUCCUAUAAUUAUGACUUUUUCUUUUUCUUUUGAUGCAUUGACCAUUUCUAGAAGGAAAACAGAGUAUCUAGCAAUACCAACAGAAGAAAUUUAGAGAUUGAAAAUCAAUUUAUUUUCCUUUUAAAAGCUUAAUGACUAUUUUUAGGGCAUAUAUGCAUAGCAUAUACCACUUAGUGAAUGAAAUAUACAAAAUAACCUGUGUGAACACAUGCAAACGUAUUAUCCAGAUACGUAUUCAAAAUGGCUACAUAGCAACUAGCCAGAAUGAGGCGUAGAUAUUUAAUGACACUUUAUGGGAUAUUACCUAAUCAAAACGUGAGUCCGAAUCAAUGAGUCUAUUCAGUUCCACUAAUUUAGGCUUCAGUGAAGUGAACGAGAAGUAGAACAAAUCCUAGGAUAUGGCGUUUUGAAUAUAUAAAUGGUAUCACACUGAGGAUAUGAUUUGAUGUGAUUGACACACAUUUGUCAAUAUAUGACUAUAGAGAAUUCUGAGAAAAUGUUAUUAUAUCAUCUCAAAAUGAAGUUGGAAAAUAUUGACAACUAAGACACUGGGGACACAAAUUGGUAACAGCUAAAGGAAUGACUGCUGGGCAGCCACAAACAUCGCUUCGGGUUGAGAGGAAAUUUGCAUCUUCAUAAUAAGUGCUACACGAAAAGCAGAGCCCCUUUCACAUGCCAUCUUAGCUAUUCAGCCUAUUCUUAUCUUCUAUCUGGAAUCCCGCCUAGUAAGAAUGGGAAAUUCUUCAUUCAGUUUGCCAAUUAUAUCUACCAUGUGCAGGCGACACAGAGCACUGGCGAACAUUCAGAAGCCUGAGGAUUGAAUUCAUUGGUGGAGCAUGGUCACCUUUGUUCAGCAAUCCAGGAAGCUUUGCUGGCUUUAAUAAUACAUGAGGAGGCAUGAAGGGAAGACGGGCCUCGGCUGCUUUUCAGAUUCUUGUGUUGACUGCAUGCAUGCUGCCAUGAACCACGGAAAGCCCCAUCUCCAGCCUCUGUUUGGAAGCCUAAGUGAGGAAACAAGGCUUGGAGAAAUUUGCAUUUAGAGGAGUGAUUUUUUUUUUUUUUUGCAAUAAAAAUUACUCAGGAAGGAAUAGUUACAUUAUGGCCAAGCAUUCAUGAGUUAUACAGAAACCCUUCUCUAACAGAAUAAAAUUAGAAAAUACAGUUAAAAAUGUAAUAACAUAGCUUUAACAAUUAGCUAAAAAAUGAAACUCUUGUGCUGGAGAAGGAACUCUAAGAACAAAACCAUGUUGCUUUAUAUUCUAUAAAUGUCCCAUGAGUAGUUCAAAAUAGUAUAUAUUUUAAAUGUGUACAUUUUAGCCUCUGUGUAUGAAUUUGCUGAAUAUACAGAUUAAGCCAAAAACAUCAUUUAUCAUUCUUUACUGCUAAGUCUUAUGUAUUUCUAGGGACAAAACAUCCAACAUCACCUAGAAAUCACUACAGGUUCAUACACAAACACACACAAGCGCACACACGCACGCACACCUCAGUAGGUUAAAGGUUUUCCAGUGACAAACAGUGCUCAAACAUUAAUACAUUUCAACACUGGACUCCUUGUCCAGUGCCCUGGAAGAAGGAUUGAAAACUCACAUGUUUUCAUGCCCUUUUUUAAAGGACUAAGCUAAGACAACAGAGGAUAUUCAGACCAAAGACUGGGUCCAGGCCCAAAGUAUUAAAAACAAACAAAAAAAAAAGGUACCACAUGACAUUGGCCAAACUGAACUUUUAACAGGUCAAUCAUGUCUACCACUUUGUUGUCACAGCUUGAGCAUAACUUCUGCUUUUUCCGAAUUCUUCAAGAAACACCUUGAAAGGAACAGAGUAUAAGAAUAGCAAAGGGAUGCAUCUGAGUCGUCCACCCACACACCCUCUGUAUAUCCCAGACUUAAAUGUGCCUUUUGGAAUUGAGGCACAAAUAAGCGUUAAGCCCUUUUCCCUCCCUCUCCUCUCCAAAACAGCAGUCAGGCCUUCUCUGCGAAGGCUGUCUUGGGCCUUGUCCUGCCUCCUUUCAUCUCCCAGCCUCCCCCUGCUCACAUCCUAGAAAGUUUACCUUUCUUUGCAUCCUCUACACCCUCCAGUCCCAUUUGCCUGUGGGCUUCACUGUCCCAGAAAUCAAGGGACAAGUGCAUAGAAUCCUAAUGAGAGAUGGUGGAUAAAGGUCGGGGCCCAGAAAAUAAAAGCCGUUGCGCUCAAUGGUGUUCACCAGGGAAAAGAGUAGGAAGAUGCUUUCAGUGAGCUUUAUAUCUACUAUGGUGACAAAUGGGAUUAUUUUCUACUAAAGCUUCUGAAAUACCGCCAU